UACGUAGGUGACAAGCGUUGUCCGGAUUUACUGGGCGUAAAGAGCGCGCAGGCGGUCGAUCAAGUCGAGUGUGAAAGCCCCCGGCUCAACUGGGGAGGGUCAUUCGAUACUGAUCGACUCGAAGGCAGGAGAGGGUAGUGGAAUUCCCGGUGUAGUGGUGAGAUGCGUAGAUAUCGGGAGGAACACCAGUGGCGAAGGCGACUACCUGGCCUGUUCUUGACGCUGAGGCGCGAAAGCUAGGGGAGCAAACGGG
Molecule: ribosomal RNA, 253 nt
Filed under: uncultured bacterium
Lineage: Bacteria
Description: partial 16S ribosomal RNA
Rfam family: Bacterial small subunit ribosomal RNA
Source: RNAcentral